Molecule: ribosomal RNA, 454 nt
Filed under: uncultured bacterium
Lineage: Bacteria
Description: partial 16S ribosomal RNA
Rfam family: Bacterial small subunit ribosomal RNA
Source: RNAcentral
GAUGAACGCUGACAGAAUGCUUAACACAUGCAAGUCUACUUGAACUUCGGUUUGGGUGGCGGACGAGUGAGUAACGCGUAAAGAACUUGCCUCACAGUUAGGGACAACAUUUGGAAACGAAUGCUAAUACCUGAUAUUAUGAUUUUAGGGCAUCCUAAAAUUAUGAAAGCUAUAUGCGCUGUGAGAGAGCUUUGCGUCCCAUUAGCUAGUUGGAGAGGUAACGGCUCACCAAGGCGAUGAUGGGUAGCCGGCCUGAGAGGGUGAACGGCCACAAGGGGACUGAGACACGGCCCUUACUCCUACGGGAGGCAGCAGUGGGGAAUAUUGGACAAUGGACCAAAAGUCUGAUCCAGCAAUUCUGUGUGCACGAUGACGUUUUUCGGAAUGUAAAGUGCUUUCAGUUGGGAAGAAAAAAAUGACGGUACCAACAGAAGAAGUGACGGCUAAAUACGUG